This is a small nuclear RNA of Erinaceus europaeus (western European hedgehog), 111 nucleotides long. The record is from Ensembl. Lineage: Eukaryota; Metazoa; Chordata; Mammalia; Eulipotyphla; Erinaceidae.
GUGUCUGCUUUGGCCACACAUAUACUAAAACUCAAAACAGUACAGGGGAGAUUAUUAGCACAGCCCCUGAGCAAGGAUGACAUACAAAUCCACUAAGCAGCCCAUAUUAAA